AUGAGCGGCGGACGGGUGAGUAACACGUGGGCAACCUGCCUGUAAGACCGGGAUAACUUCGGGAAACCGGAGCUAAUACCGGAUCAUUCUUCCCCUCACAUGAGGGGAAGCUAAAAGACGGUUUCGGCUGUCGCUUACAGAUGGGCCCGCGGCGCAUUAGCCAGUUGGUGAGGUAACGGCUCACCAAGGCAACGAUGCGUAGCCGACCUGAGAGGGUGAUCGGCCACAUUGGGACUGAGACACGGCCCAAACUCCUACGGGAGGCAGCAGUAGGGAAUCUUCCGCAAUGGACGAAAGUCUGACGGAGCAACGCCGCGUGAGUGAUGAAGGUCUUCGGAUCGUAAAACUCUGUUGUCAGGGAAGAACAAGUAUCGGAGUCACUGCCGGUACCUUGACGGUACCUGACCAGAAAGCCACGGCUAACUACGUGCCAGCAGCCGCGGUAAUACGUAGGUGGCAAGCGUUGUCCGGAAUUAUUGGGCAUAAAGCGCGCGCAGGCGGUCCCUUAAGUCUGAUGUGAAAUCUUGCGGCUCAACCGCGAGCGGUCAUUGGAAACUGGGGGACUUGAGUACAGAAGAGGAAAGUGGAAUUCCACGUGUAGCGGUGAAAUGCGUAGAGAUGUGGAGGAACACCAGUGGCGAA
Molecule: ribosomal RNA, 642 nt
Filed under: uncultured bacterium
Lineage: Bacteria
Description: bacterial SSU rRNA
Rfam family: Bacterial small subunit ribosomal RNA
Source: RNAcentral